Camellia sinensis is the source of this 4373-nucleotide non-coding RNA. The record is from RefSeq and is a predicted model, not a curated record. NCBI's taxonomy places the organism in Eukaryota, Viridiplantae, Streptophyta, Magnoliopsida, Ericales, Theaceae.
UGAACUUUGAAAAUCCAAAUAGGAGAAACCCUAUACAGAGAAACAAAACCCCAUUUCAGAGAAACCAUUUGAAAAUCAAAUUAGAGAAACCCUCCUAUUCCUCUCUCGAUCUCAACUCGAUUCCUUGCCAUUUGGUCUGUCGGCGACUUUGACGUUCUACAAUAGCUCUCUCUCCGACAAUCGAAGGUUUCUCGUCUCCAUCUUAUGCUUAGUCUCGGAGCGAAUGACUUCAACUUCUCAGUUCUCACUCUCAGUCCGACGGUGAAGCUCGAGCUCUCAGGUUAUUGUAGCAAUGGACUCGGGUCCAACUGAUCCUACUGUGUUGACGCUACAACAGUCUCACCGAUCCUCUUUAGCAUGGACUACCUCGGAUGAUGUUGACUCCGUUAUACUUACAUGUCAAUGCCGCAAAGCUACGAUAGGAUGUAUGGGACCCCCUGAUGCAUGCAUAGGCCCAUACUUGCAGAGAGCAAGAUUUUUUGGACUCAUCCAUGUGCUGUUCAUACAGUUAGAUUGGUAUCUUAUUACUGCACUAAUAAAGAGGUGCCGAUCGGAGACACACACAUUUCACUUAACAUCUGGGGAGGCAACCAUCACAUUGCAAGAUGUCAGUAACUUAUCUGGACUACAGGUUGAUGGUAACGCUAUUACAGGGAAUACUGGUUAUGAUUGGCCUGCUGUAUGCAAUAGUCUUUUAGGGACAGUUCCACCUACCAACCAGCUCAAAGGCUCGAGGUUGAACAUGACGUGGCUUUCCCAGACUUAUGAUGACUUACCCAUUGAUGCUGAUGAUGUCACAGUUCAGUGCUAUGCUAGAGCAUUCAUUCUCCAACUUUUGGGUGGUAGCAUUUCUGCAGGCAAAUUUGGUAGUAUGGUGUAAUUGAUGUUUCUGCCUUUACUAGAGGACUUUGAUGCUGUUAGGGAAUACAGUUGGGGGAGUGCAGCACUAGCUUGGUUGUAUCGAGAGUUAUAUCGUGUAUCUUGCGAACGUGUGCAUGACAUUUCUGGUUUUCUCAUCCUUGUUCAAAUCUGGACGUGGUAUAGAUUUCCCCACAUUGGUCCACGUCGUCUUCUUAGACAACCAGUAGCGGACGGUCCGCUCAUCACACAUUGGCGGAAUGCAUUUAUUGUUUGAGAGAUUUCCACUCAUGUCCUCUGUCAAUAUCGUUAUUCCUUGGACAGGCAGGCCUUUGCAUAAAUGGCGUGGCGACCUUACAGUACUGAGUUGAUUAAGGGGCUUCCACUAUAUUGUUCGGAUGGUGUAGAUAUAUGGCAAGCAGUAGUUGUAUUCAUUUGUUUUUUCAUUGUUGAGAUGCACCAUUUUGAUAAGAGUACAAUGACAAUUUGGAUUUUGCUAGACUAUUCCCCACAAUUGUGACACUAUCAUUGCUCUUCAUAACCUCGAUUUACGUGGAACCAAAACUAAAGAUUGGGUGAACCAUCACAAAAAGUGGAUUCAAUUAUGGGAUCAACGCCGAACCCACAUUGUUGUAGGUGAACCAUGAGAUGGUAAUAUGCAUGAUGAUGAUCCAUACAUGGUAUGGUAUCGACGUAUCACUCAUCAAUACAUUAGUCGUGCUGCAUGUACAUUUGAUUCCGUGACUGGUCAUUUGGUACAAAUAUGUAACGCAUCACUAGGGGGAUCACAUAUUGGCACACUGGCUAGCCAGGCACUUGCAAUUCUUCAUGAUCAAGAUCGCUUCGCAAGGGUACCUCCACCACAGCCUGCCGUUCACAUACAUGGAGAGACACAACCAUCUGAUAGGGUAGAUAGUGAGCCACAUAGGGAGAGGGACUUUACCUCUAUACCAGAUCUCAAAUCCAUGUUAAAUGAUUGGUGUCAAACCCCUAUCCGCAUGGAAGAUUUUGGGAAUGCAAUGACAGAACAACAUGAAGAAGUGGUCACACAUUCUGAGGAGGGUAUUUCUCAUACAGUAGCAGGGGCUCUACAUUCUGGAGAUGGACUGACACAAUCACCCAAGAGGGUUCAAGCCUUUACCGAGACAAUCACACAUAGUGAAGAGAGGGGAUCACAUGCUGAUGAGCAACAUCUUGGGACUACACAUGCAUCGCAUGAGGAAGUCCCAGUAUCUGCCAUUACACAGUCUGAAAAGGGAGGUACUCAAAGCGGAAAUGGGAUUCCAUUGUCUACCGAGAGAGUUACACAUUGUGGGGAAGGGGAAUCACAUGUUGAUGAGCGAGUACUACCUAUUGUGCCUGUGGACCCUGUUCUUGAUAGGAGGAAGUGACGCAGAUAUCAAGCUACUGAGGAGGGUGUCACACAGGUUCCAGAACCCCCACGUCGCAAGGGAACUUGCAAAAUUAGACAUCCUAGGUAGAGGAAAAGCGGUGACCCUUGCCCAAUUACAUGGAAAAUGUUCAAAAUGAUACUAAUCAAACAAUAUUCCUAUCUCAUGCUGUAAGCAGGAACAAGCUUCAGCUUUUUGGUGUUUCUUGCAUGCUUGUUGCCUCGUAUGCUCAUCAACUCCAUUGUAUAUAGUCUUAUUUUUCUUGGUCAUUACAUGGGUUGAUUCUCUUAAUGGUACUCUUUUAUGGUUGAUAAUGCAGCAACUAUGAAAAGAUUACUGCUCCCCACGUUGAAGAUUUUUGCUAUAUAACAAAUAAAACUCAUACAAAAGAAGAGGUGAGUUUGUCCCCACGAAUUUGUCUUCAUCUUUUUUUUUCCCACAAAUAAAAUCUAUCAAUGCUUGUACAUGUUUUGGAGGGGUGAUUGUGCAAGUGGUGAAGAUGGAGCGAGAUGUCCUCAACUUUUUGAACUAUGAGAUAGGUACUCCCACAGUAUAAAAUUUUAUUAGAAUUUUCACCAGGAAUGAUUUUCAUUAGGUAAGUACUAGUUCCAUUUAUUUACUGGUGCAAUAGACUGUUUCCAUUAUAGCCUUAAUGGUAGAAGUCUGAGGAAAGAUUUUCCAUAUUUGUUCAAUCUCUCAAUGGAUAAGGAAGGCACAUUGAAGUUUUUUUAUCACAGGAAAAGACAGGACACAGAUUGGAAGCUGGAGUUUAGGAGAUCACUUUUAGCUUGGAGGAAGAGGAGGUUCAAAGACUUACUGGAUUAUUAUUAGAGGCAUCUCAUCUUAAUGAUACAGCAGAGGAUUCUUGUUCAUGGCUGGAAAAUAGUUCAGAAGUGUUCUUUGUGGCUUCAGUUUGGCAAAGGGUGGAGGUAGCUAAAGGGCCAAUGCUCAGCAUUUCAAAGGUUCUAUGGAAAAAGUCAGCACCUCCAAAGGUUUGGUUCUUCAGUUGGUUAGCUUGGAGAGUGAGAAUAAAGUCUGCAGAGUUUAUGCAUCGGUUUGGUGUAUUGAAUGAUAAUGUUAGUUCUCUGUGUGUGUUUUGUAAGGCAAGGGUCGAAACAACUAAUCAUGUGUUGUUGUUAUGCCCUUUGAUCUGGAAUGUAUGGUCUGUCUUGGUAAACUGGUGGGAUGUAAAAUGGGUAACACUAGGUUCUGUGGAGGUUUUGCUGCGCUGGUGGUUUGGAAUGAAAUGGAGGAAGAAGGAGAUGGAGAUUUGGAAGGUUGUCCCUUUGGCAAUGUUGUGUCUGUUUGGAAACUAACGAAUGAGUGUUUAUUUAAGGAAGGUCAUGCUGAUCUUGCAGGAUUGGGGGAGUUGGUGAAAGUCAGAACUGCUCUAUGGGUGAAGUCUAAUAUGAAGGGUGUUAACUACUCAGUGCAUAAUGAUGUCACAAAUUUGAAGCAAGUCAGAAGUUGUUUAUAAGCUAUUAGAGGAGUAUGCUGGUGUAUUAUUUCUGCUGUGAGGAUGUCUUUGUUGUAUGUCUGCAGGUGAGAUGUUGUUUAGAAGGAAGAAGAGAUUUGCUCGUGUGUGCUCUUGUUUUGAGGUGCAGAAAAACAAUUGAUGCUGUUGGUAGCUCACCGGUUUGGUGUUGCUGUAGUGCUACUGCUGCUGCUGUAUUGUUGCUCGUGCUGUCAAUGGUUUGGUUUGCUACUGGUGUUGCUGGUGCUGUGGAUGGUUUGGUUUGGUGCUGUAUAUUGCUGCUGAUACUUCUGAGUGCUGGGUGAUUUGUUUGCUGGUUGGAGAUGCUAUUGUUGUAGAUUGCUGCAGAUGCUGCGGAUUUGCUGCUGCUCGUUAGGUGGAGUUUCCUAGUUGCAAGUAGUUGUUUUUUGUCAUUGGUCAAGCUUAAUGGAUUGCUUUGCUAUGGAAGUUGGUGUCUGAUUCUUGUUUCUUGUUCUGUGUUUUGUUGUUGCUCUGUAUGUUGGUUUCUCAUCAACUUGGAGCAUGGAGCUUGGUUAGGAUCUUGAUGGUUCAUGAUACUUUUUGCACUCUCCUCUUUAUUAAUAUCAUCAUAUUUUGUAUGUUUUUCUAUCAAUAAAGCUUUCUUUUUGCUGAUAAAAAAACUAAUGCCA